RNAcentral lists this ribosomal RNA (497 nucleotides) under uncultured bacterium. RNAcentral's name for it is "partial 16S ribosomal RNA". It matches the Rfam family "Bacterial small subunit ribosomal RNA", at positions 28 to 507 of the family's 1533-position model. The record is from RNAcentral.
GAUGAACGCUGGCGGCGUGCCUAAUACAUGCAAGUCGAGCGAACGGACGAGAAGCUUUCUUCUCUGAUGUUAGCGGCGGACGGGUGAGUAACACGUGGAUAACCUACCUAUAAGACUGGGAUAACUUCGGGAAACCGGAGCUAAUACCGGAUAAUAUUUUGAACCGCAUGGUUCAAAAGUGAAAGACGGUCUUGCUGUCACUUAUAGAUGGAUCCGCGCUGCAUUAGCUAGUUGGUAAGGUAACGGCUUACCAAGGCAACGAUGCAUAGCCGACCUGAGAGGGUGAUCAGCCACACUGGAACUGAGACACGGUCCAGACUCCUACGGGAGGCAGCAGUGGGGAAUCUUCCACAAUGGGCGAAAGCCUGACGGAGCAACGCCGCGUGAGUGAUGAAGGUCUUCGGAUCGUAAAACUCUGUUAUUAGGGAAGAACAGAUGUGUAAGUAACUGUGCACAUCUUGACGGUACCUAAUCAGAAAGCCACGGCUAACUACGUG